Long non-coding RNA from Myotis daubentonii (Daubenton's bat), 4462 nucleotides. RefSeq lists it as uncharacterized. The record is from RefSeq and is a predicted model, not a curated record. Lineage: Eukaryota; Metazoa; Chordata; Mammalia; Chiroptera; Vespertilionidae.
CCACUUCUUGGAUUUCGAACCACUUACCCAUCUACAGUUACGGUGCUGAGCACUUGCCAUGUCCUGUGUUCAUUCAGUCCUCAACAUCAGCCUGUGAGCUAGACAACAUGCAUUUUGAAAGCCGGGACCAUUUUCCUUCAUCUGCACAAGGCUUGGUCCUGAGAAUCCUCUCAACGCAGCACUGCUGGAAGGCAUGAAGGAACCAACACAGGCUCAGCAGAUGAAAUCAAGCAGACUUUGCAUGAUUGAAGGCAAGAAGGGAGAGGGAGAGAAAGAUAGAAACAUCAAUGAUGAGAGAGAAUCAUUGAUUGGCUGCCUCCUGCAUGCCCCGCACUGAGGAUCAAGCCUGCAACCUGGGAAUCGACCAAUGACCUCCUGGUUCAUAGGUCAAUGCUCACCGAGCCACACUGGCCAGGUCUUUCCCCUGCCCAGCUUUCUUGAGGUUCUUAAAGAUCCUUCCAGAUCAGUGCAAAGAUCUACCUCUUUCUCAUUGAACAGCUGGGAACAUUCUGUAUUCCAUUGCAUUUGGGACACCCUACAAGGCAUUUCACUGUCUCCUGCCGGAGUUCCUAUUCUCUGUUUCAAACAACACUGUGAUGAUUAUCCUUGUACAUUCAGUUUUCACCCUGUUGGGAAGGUGCUAUUUCAGUUUUGAUAGGCACUGCUAGCGUGUCCCCUGCAGAUGGUGACUUUCAUAAUAGUAAGCUCCCGCUUUAAUCUAUGAGCAGGCAGUCAUCGGUGGUGCCAGCUUACUAGAAGUUUGCAUUUGAUGAACCCAAGGUGAGAAGUUUCUUUUUCCCAGAGAGCGAUUGCGCCUGUACUAUUGCAUGUAGCAAAGUGGCUUACAGCCCAGAUGUUGGAGACAGACUGCCCGGGUUCGAAUCCCAGCUCUAACAUGCUCAUACUGCAUAUGACCUUGGGCAAAGUGACUUAACUGCCUGUCAGAUAAAAAGACUAAUCCCAUCUACGUCAUAAAGUUACUGCAGGGUUUCUCAAUCACCCUCAGCAAUGCUGAUAUGUAGGGCUGGAUGGUUCUCUGUUUGAGGGAGUGGGCAGUCCUGUGCACUGAAGCAUCCCUAACCUCUACCUACAAGAUGCCAGUGGCCUUCACCUUUCAAUUGUGACAACCAUAAAUGUCUCUAGACACUGCCGAAUGGGCCCCUGGAGAUGGGGGAGGCAAAAUUCUCCCCUCCCAUUGAGCAUCAGUGGGUUACUGUGAAGAUUAUAUGCAUGAGUUAUUAUGUAAAAGGCACUUAGAACAGAGCUGGUACAUAAUAAAUGCUAUAUAAAGGCCUGCAGUUAUUAUCAGCAUUAUCUCUCCCGAGCCCUAAGGCUUACCUUACAGAAAAUAAAUAGUUUUGAUAAUAUGGGGGCUUGAGCAAGACAAGGGAGCAUUAUUAAGCCCGUAUCUGAUUCCACUCCGGAACAAGAAUCCAAGUCCCUAUUCUAAGAUCAUAGGUCAGCAAUGUCAGUAUUAAUUAUAGUCUGAUCCCUCCGGGGUUCCAUUGUGGGGCUCCCGGUAUCCUGUAGCACAUUUAACAAGAUCCCAUGCUAAUGGCCAGUUCAGCUGUCACGGGUGCUGCACACAUCCGUUCCACAUCCCUUCCCGAGUUAGUUCUCCAAAUGGUGCAUACUUCACAUCUCUGGCUUUCCAUGGAUCUAUGGCCCCUUGAAACAACUGGCUGCCCACAACAGUCACCCCAAAAAGGGGGCCAAUGAAAACAAAAAGGGAGAAUAAGGAAGAACAAAAAGACGGAGAUUCUUUAAAUUUCUGGCUCUCUGCAGCACAAGCAUUUCCAAUGAAAAAUAAAGAAUUCUUUCUUCUGUAUCUAUUUCAGCUGGCAUCCCGCUUUUGCCUGGUGAAUAAUGUCACCACAUCAUUAUUCUGUCCCUCAAGGUAAAACAAAAUGAGCAACUUAACCACCAGAAGUGUGCUUGUGUGGAGGAAAGGGCUCAUUUAAAAGCUUUUUCAAGUAAUGUUGCUGUGUUCCUUCCUAUUUUACCACACAUCCUCAGGUUUUUUUUGAACCUAUGGGAAAGUUGUUACUUUGCAUACAAGGUGUAUAAAUAAUGCCUCUUAGAAGCAACCCCCCUGACACACACACAUACACACACACACACACACACACACACACUUUAAAAAGUUUUUUUGCUUUUAGUCUUUUGGGAUUCCUGGAGUGUCUACAAAUAGAUUAGCCUUUAAGAAUUCCGAGUAACCAUGGUUAGAAGAAACAACACUGGUUUAAUUAGCCAUGGUCCUAUUUUUGAAAUUACAUCUGCUCUCUCUCUUUUCUUAAAUGAGGCUUGGUCUUUGCAAAAAUUUUAAGAGGAUGGAUUUUGUAGAUGGGGGGGGGGCAGUGCAUGUUAGUUUUGAUUUGAAUUAAUUUUCAUGCUUUUGAAAGCGAAAUCAAGAGUAUUGAGUGAGUAAUGUAGCAUCAUACAUUAAACAUGAUCAAAUGAAGAGCACUGAAGAGAAAUGAUUGCAGAGAAAUGAAUUGCUGGAAAUACUGGAUCAUCAGAUGCAUGCUGCUGUACAGAGUGAUAGCAAAUCAUUCUUUGCAUGGCUGUAUCAGUUUUUUAUCCCAAAUCCUCAGACUUGAUUAAUCAUUGAAGUGAUGAAAAUGAGAGGGCCAUGUGGUUCGUUGAAGGGUCAUUGAGUUUCAGAAACCAAGUACAUAAUCCACAGGACUCGAUUCCCAGGUUUGAAAGUCUUUAUAUGACUUUUCACUUGAUACUAUUUUUCAUUUCUGAAAUAGUGGUUGAAAUGGUCACUGCUUUUUAAAAAUAUGUAUAUAUUUUAUUGAUAUUUUACAGAGAGGAAGGGAGAGGGAUAGAGAGUUAGAAACAUCAAUGAGAGAGAAACAGCGAUCAGCUGCCUCCUGCACACUCCCCACUGGGGAUGUGCCCGCAACCCAGGUACAUGCCCUUGACUGGAAUCAAACCUGGGACCCUUGAGUCCGGAAGCCAACGCUCUAUCCAGUGAGCCAAACCAGUUAGGGUGGUCACUGCUUUUUUAGAAGUUAAUUUUUUAGCAAUACUUCUUAAUAUCAGAACUCUUUCAGGACAGUGUUCCUCACAGUCUUUGAUGACAAAUCUCCAGUGAUACUUGGUUUUGUUUAAAUCAUUUGGGAUGGAGAGGGCACUUGAAAAUUUAACUUUUAUUGGAUAUGAUAUUAGUUUCCGACUUCAGCAUUUGUCUUUAAAGAAUUCUGAAUGCACAUGGAAAUCACAGGAAAUCACUUUUUUGGGGGUCGUCUAUAUUAAUUAUCUCUGGUUGCAUACAAAUUACCCCAAAAUUUAUUAACUUAAACACCAAGAGUUAGGAAUCUGGUUCAGGGUCUCUAACAAAACCUAAUGAAGGUGCAUUGACCAGGGCUGAGGUCAUAAUCAAGGCUUGAUUAGGGGAUGUCUGCUUCCAGUCUCUCUCACGUGGCUGUGGGCAGCCAUCCGGUCCUCACUGCUGUGGUUGGAGACGUCAGUUCUUUGCCAUGUGGGCCUCUCCAUAGGGCAGCUCAUAACAUGGCAGCUGUCUUUCUUUAAAGCAAGUGGGCAAGAGAGGGCAGUGUAAAAUAGAAGCCACAGUCUUUUUGUAACCUAAUCUUGGAAGUGAAAACUCUUAGUUUUUUCUUUUUUGUUAGAAGGAAGCCACUAGGUCCAAUUCAAGUAGAGAGUAUUUCACAGGGUCUGAACACCAGAACAGGUUCAUAUGGGGCCAUUGUAAAGGCUGCCUGCCACACCAUUUGUCUUAAGGUGUAUUAUCCUGUCAUAAGAUAUAAAGCCCUCUGACACCACAGUGGCUGUUAAAUAACCAUGAUGUCUAGAAUUCAGGUGAGGAAUUUGCAAUAAUAGAUAUUCCUCGGUUUGGGGUGAUAAUCCUUCCAUAAAGAAAAAUGGAGGAGGGUGUAUAAAACAGCAUGACAAUAGACGUUCUCUCGGUUUUCAUUUUAAUAGAAAGCAGAAAUCAAUUUUUUUAAAAAAAUAUAUUUUUAUUGAUUUCAGAAAGGAAGGGAGAGGGAGAGAGAGAUAGAAACAUUAGUGACGAGAGAGAAUCAUUGAUUGGCUGCCACCUGCAUGCACCCCACUGGAGAUGGAGCCUGCAACCUGGACAUGUGCCCUUGACCAGAAUCGAACCUAGGACCCUUCAGUCCACAGGCUGACACUCUAUCCACUGAGUCAAACCGGUUAGGGCCAGAAGUCAAAUUUUAAUGAUAAACCUGCAAACAUUCCAAGUGUGAAUGUAAAAUGGCACAGUCAUGUUGGGAAAAAGUUUGAUAGUAUCUUUAAAAAACUUAAAUAUAGCCCUGGCUGGGUGGUUCAAUUGGUUGGUGCAUCCUCCCAAUGUGCUGAGGUUUAGGGUUGGGUUUGAACCCUGGCUAGGGCACAUGCAGGAAUCAACCAAUGGGUGCAUGAAUGGGUAGAACAAUAAAUCUCUCCCCCUUUCCCCCCUCCCCUCGAUUCCUCU